UUUGAUUUAGGAUUAGGAUUAGGAUUUGGUUAAGAUUUUAUUAGGAUUUGAUUUAGGAUUUAGGAUUUGGUUAGGGUUUGGUUUAGGGUUAGGAUUUAAUUAGGAUUUGGUUAGGGUUUGGCUUAGGGUUAGGAUUUGGUUAGGAUUUAAUUUAGGAUUAAGGUUUAGUUUAGGAUUUAGGGUUUGGUUAGGAUUUGAUUUAGGAUUAGGAUUUGGUUUAGGAUUUAGGGUUUGUUUAGGGUUUGAUUUCGGAUUAGGAUUUGAUUUAGGAUUUAGGAUUUGAUAAGGGUUUGAUUUAGGGUUUAUGAUUUGGUUUAGAGUGUAGGAUUUGGUUUAGGAUUUAAGAUUUGGUUAAGGUUUGAUUAGGAUUUGAUUUAGAGUUUAGGAUUUUAUUUGAGUUUAUUUAGGAUAUAAGAUUUAAUUAAUUUUUGGC
RNAcentral lists this long non-coding RNA (433 nucleotides) under Physcomitrium patens. RNAcentral's name for it is "long non-coding RNA (PPAT_LNC003183)". Lineage: Eukaryota; Viridiplantae; Streptophyta; Bryopsida; Funariales; Funariaceae. The record is from RNAcentral.